CGAAUGCUGACAUAAGUAACGAUAAAGCGGGUGAAAAGCCCGCUCGCCGGAAGACCAAGGGUUCCUGUCCAACGUUAAUCGGGGCAGGGUGAGUCGACCCCUAAGGCGAGGCCGAAAGGCGUAGUCGAUGGGAAACAGGUUAAUAUUCCUGUACUUGGUGUUACUGCGAAGGGGGGACGGAGAAGGCUAUGUUAGCCGGGCGACGGUUGUCCCGGUUUAAGCAUGUAGGCUGGUUAUCCAGGCAAAUCCGGAUAAUCAAGGCUGAGGUGUGAUGACGAGGCACUACGGUGCUGAAGUAACAAAUGCCCUGCUUCCAGGAAAA
Molecule: ribosomal RNA, 322 nt
Filed under: Klebsiella quasipneumoniae subsp. similipneumoniae
Lineage: Bacteria; Pseudomonadati; Pseudomonadota; Gammaproteobacteria; Enterobacterales; Enterobacteriaceae
Description: partial 23S ribosomal RNA
Rfam family: Bacterial large subunit ribosomal RNA
Source: RNAcentral